Non-coding RNA from Nylanderia fulva, 380 nucleotides. NCBI's taxonomy places the organism in Eukaryota, Metazoa, Arthropoda, Insecta, Hymenoptera, Formicidae. The record is from RefSeq and is a predicted model, not a curated record.
CAACAACAGUAAACAUCGCAUUCAAGUUGUUGCCUGGAACGAAGAAAUUGAUCGUAUAAAUUUUUAUAUACAACCAAAUCGAAUUGUGCAUAUUGAUGGUGCUAAGGCUAAAAAGGUAAAAAUACCUGAAUUCAACCAAGGGACACUUCAAUACGAACUAAUUAUUCGAUCCAACACGACAAUAAAUACGUUGGGUAAUUUUGACCUAAAAAAAACAUUCAAGCGGUGCAACCACAAUUAGUGGAAUUGUGUGAUGUACCUCAACAUCUUAAUGCAUGCAUUAUUAUACGUGGAUACAUUAAAACGAAUUUUAAUAAAUUUCUAAAUAGUUUUAAAACAAUUGGCUGCGGAUCCAUUACAGAUAAGAUGUAUAAAUUGGA